RNAcentral lists this ribosomal RNA (403 nucleotides) under uncultured bacterium. RNAcentral describes it as "bacterial SSU rRNA". It matches the Rfam family "Bacterial small subunit ribosomal RNA", at positions 356 to 774 of the family's 1533-position model. The record is from RNAcentral.
GGGGAAUAUUGCGCAAUGGGGGAAACCCUGACGCAGCAAUACCGCGUGAGUGAAGAAGGUUUUCGGAUCGUAAAGCUCUGUUAUUGGGGAAGAAAAAAAGACGGUACCCAAGAAGAAAGUCCCGGCUAACUACGUGCCAGCAGCCGCGGUAAUACGUAGGGGACAAGCGUUGUCCGGAUUUACUGGGCGUAAAGAGCUCGUAGGCGGUUAGUCGCGUCUGCUGUGAAAACUCGAGGCUCAACCUCGGGCUUGCAGUGGGUACGGGCUGACUAGAGUGCGGUAGGGGUGACUGGAAUUCCUGGUGUAGCGGUGGAAUGCGCAGAUAUCAGGAGGAACACCGAUGGCGAAGGCAGGUCACUGGGCCGCAACUGACGCCGAGGAGCGAAAGCAUGGGGAGCGAACA